This 1621-nucleotide ribosomal RNA is filed under the name Salmonella enterica subsp. enterica serovar Stanley str. ATCC 7308. RNAcentral describes it as "bacterial LSU rRNA". It matches the Rfam family "Bacterial large subunit ribosomal RNA", at positions 1220 to 2823 of the family's 2925-position model. Lineage: Bacteria; Pseudomonadati; Pseudomonadota; Gammaproteobacteria; Enterobacterales; Enterobacteriaceae. The record is from RNAcentral.
GUUGUUGGGUAGGGGAGCGUUCUGUAAGCCUGUGAAGGUGUGUCGUGAGGCAUGCUGGAGGUAUCAGAAGUGCGAAUGCUGACAUAAGUAACGAUAAAGCGGGUGAAAAGCCCGCUCGCCGGAAGACCAAGGGUUCCUGUCCAACGUUAAUCGGGGCAGGGUGAGUCGACCCCUAAGGCGAGGCCGAAAGGCGUAGUCGAUGGGAAACGGGUUAAUAUUCCCGUACUUGGUGUUACUGCGAAGGGGGGACGGAGAAGGCUAUGUUGGCCGGGCGACGGUUGUCCCGGUUUAAGCGUGUAGGUGUGUGUUCCAGGUAAAUCCGGUUCACUUUAACACUGAGGCGUGACGACGAGGCACUACGGUGCUGAAGCAACAAAUGCCCUGCUUCCAGGAAAAGCCUCUAAGCAUCAGGUAACAUCAAAUCGUACCCCAAACCGACACAGGUGGUCAGGUAGAGAAUACCAAGGCGCUUGAGAGAACUCGGGUGAAGGAACUAGGCAAAAUGGUGCCGUAACUUCGGGAGAAGGCACGCUGACACGUAGGUGAAGUGAUUUACUCAUGGAGCUGAAGUCAGUCGAAGAUACCAGCUGGCUGCAACUGUUUAUUAAAAACACAGCACUGUGCAAACACGAAAGUGGACGUAUACGGUGUGACGCCUGCCCGGUGCCGGAAGGUUAAUUGAUGGGGUCAGCGCAAGCGAAGCUCCUGAUCGAAGCCCCGGUAAACGGCGGCCGUAACUAUAACGGUCCUAAGGUAGCGAAAUUCCUUGUCGGGUAAGUUCCGACCUGCACGAAUGGCGUAAUGAUGGCCAGGCUGUCUCCACCCGAGACUCAGUGAAAUUGAACUCGCUGUGAAGAUGCAGUGUACCCGCGGCAAGACGGAAAGACCCCGUGAACCUUUACUAUAGCUUGACACUGAACAUUGAGCCUUGAUGUGUAGGAUAGGUGGGAGGCUUUGAAGCGUGGACGCCAGUCUGCGUGGAGCCGACCUUGAAAUACCACCCUUUAAUGUUUGAUGUUCUAACGUGGACCCGUGAUCCGGGUUGCGGACAGUGUCUGGUGGGUAGUUUGACUGGGGCGGUCUCCUCCUAAAGAGUAACGGAGGAGCACGAAGGUUGGCUAAUCCUGGUCGGACAUCAGGAGGUUAGUGCAAUGGCAUAAGCCAGCUUGACUGCGAGCGUGACGGCGCGAGCAGGUGCGAAAGCAGGUCAUAGUGAUCCGGUGGUUCUGAAUGGAAGGGCCAUCGCUCAACGGAUAAAAGGUACUCCGGGGAUAACAGGCUGAUACCGCCCAAGAGUUCAUAUCGACGGCGGUGUUUGGCACCUCGAUGUCGGCUCAUCACAUCCUGGGGCUGAAGUAGGUCCCAAGGGUAUGGCUGUUCGCCAUUUAAAGUGGUACGCGAGCUGGGUUUAGAACGUCGUGAGACAGUUCGGUCCCUAUCUGCCGUGGGCGCUGGAGAACUGAGGGGGGCUGCUCCUAGUACGAGAGGACCGGAGUGGACGCAUCACUGGUGUUCGGGUUGUCAUGCCAAUGGCACUGCCCGGUAGCUAAAUGCGGAAGAGAUAAGUGCUGAAAGCAUCUAAGCACGAAACUUGCCCCGAGAUGAGUUCUCCCUGAGACUU